Molecule: RNA transcript, 2878 nt
Organism: Poecile atricapillus (Black-capped chickadee)
Lineage: Eukaryota; Metazoa; Chordata; Aves; Passeriformes; Paridae
Gene: MGARP
Gene name: mitochondria localized glutamic acid rich protein
Exons: 6
Source: RefSeq, a predicted model, not a curated record
CACCUGGGGUUCUGCUCCUUCCCCGCCGCCACCCCGCGCUCCCCGGGUCACCCCCGGGCGGGAGCGGCGUCCAGGUGCGCGGGGCGGAGCUGUGGCUUGACCCGCCCCCGCGGCACCCGAGGCGGGACUGGUGUCUGCUGCCGCGGCCCCGCGACGACGAGCAGCCCGGAGUCGGUUCCUUUCUACUCCGCGCCGCGUCCCAUCUCUGCCACCAUGUCUCUCUGCCGGGCCACUUCGCUGGCGCUGGCCUCCCGCCUGAGCAGGGCUCCCGCAGCCGCCAGCCGCCUCAAGCAGCGUGCGCCUCCUCGCCAGAUGUCAUCUGGGAGUGUUCCUGGCUCUUCUGGAGACAGGAUGAUGAUCUAUCUCCUUGCUGGUGUUGCAGCUUUUGGUGGUUUAUUUUAUGCCUACAGAGUAGUCAAUUCAUCCCACAGCAAGUUUAUCAAACAUACAAAUAUUCUUCAUGAGAGAGCAGAGGGGCAGAAGAACAAUCCUUGGUCAAGGAAGGAAGGUGAUGGAGAAGAGACAGAUGAAGUCACUGAAGCAGAGGCUGAGGAAGAGGCUGAUACAGCAGCUGCUGUUGAACCUGCAGCACAGGAUGAGAGUGCUGGACCCACAGCACAGGAUGACACUUCCUGGGUAUCUGCAGAAGCUAAAGGGGAAAAUGGCUUACUGGCUCCAGAGGUAUCCCAUGCUAUGGAGGAAGCACAGCAGGAAGCUGCUGCUAAUUCAGAAGCUGCUGCUAAUUUGGAACUUGCUGCUAAUUCAGAAGCUGCUGCAGUUGAAGGUUAAUUUAUGAAUGUGGUUUUUGAGUGUGUGUGUUGUGGGUUCUAAAGCUUUUCCUCUUACAGACCAUUAAGAAUGAGCAGCAGUGUUCCUAAUGGAGUUUGUCCUGCAGUGAAAACUAAUCCAGGCAUUAACUUGACAUAACAUGAGCAUAAGUUUCUGAGGAGAAGACAAUGGAAGAAGUUGCUAAAGAGCUCUAAAGGUACACAGCACAGUUACAGCAUGUGUAAGCAGUGUGGACACCUCUGGAAAGUUUAAUGCAAAUAUUUGUGGCAAUCAACCAGCUGAUUCCUGUGUGAGACCUCAUACUCUUCCUUGAAGACAUAAAAGAAACUGUGCAGUUUGUCCUACUACACACUGGUUGUUAUGGCCAGUAUUCAAUGCUGCAAGAGAUGAUUUAUGUUGCUUAGAGAAACACUUCUGUGAUUAACAUCUCUGCUGUAGAAAGUAGCAUCCAGUCAAGCCACUCAGCAUGUCCUAAAUAAAUGUGCUAAGAGAAGCAGUAGACUUAACUAAGCCAUGUCCGAUGAAUUUUGUUGUCUUGGUAUGUACAUUGAUUUCUUACUUUUGGUCUGCACUGUUGUACAUAGUUAUACCUUUGUAACAUUCCAUGCUAAAAUGUAAGCAAUAGGAUUUAAAAUCAAGUCAAAAUAUUAUCAAAGUACCUGUUAGCAUUUUUAAAUUGGAUUACAGGGAAAAUAACAACGUGUUUGCUCCUGAGUUUGGAUUUGUGAUUGUAAGCAUAGGACAUCUGGCUGCACAUGACCUAAUUUUCCUGCUGCAUAAACAUUUCAGAUGCUACCAUUCCUUGCAUAACAACAUCCAGGAGUAAACAUUUUAAGACUCCUGCUUUGGGAAGAAAACCUGUUCACAAGUAGUAGCAUUAGGUACUUUAUGGCAUGACAAUCAAAAUAGCACUGGUUAGUGUUGUCAUGUAUCCAAGUGGUGGCUCCUGCCUUGGGUGUGAUGGGCUCUGCUCCUCCCAAAUCUCAUUCAGCUUGCUGUGGUCUUUCUGUGUUGCUCUCUCUUGGCAGUGGCAUGUAGUGGUAGUGUAACAGCACAAGGGUUUGGUAUAAACCUUCAAACUGGUAUAAAUCACAAGCCUUUUAGGCCAUGGCAAAGCCUGUCUCACAGAGAGAGCAAAAUCCUGUGAAGGGCUAUGCAACAGGUAUUCUUAGGGACUAAGAAAGAACUGAAUAGCUAAAUAACCUUGUUUUCUCAGUAUUGGCUUUAUAAAAAAUACAUUUAUUAUGAAUAACAUUUGUAUGCCACUGUGCUCCCAACCCUCCACUGUGCUAUAUGCACAACCGUGCACCUAAGACAAAAUACUGAGACCCCAUUGCAACCAUCACAGAAUGGUAAUGAUUCUAAACCAGAGCCAUAUAAGGUAUAUUAUGUACUACUUAUAUAGAAAGUAUGUUUCAUAAGGUGUGUCUGACUCUUCUCAAGCACAAGUUUGGAAAAUACUGAAAGGAAAAUUACAGCAUUAUGACAUUCCUACCUAUGGCACAAAGCAACACUUGCUUCUUCCCCCAUAAUAAAGCAAAUUAUAAUAGUAUUCCAACAAAAAUAUACCCUUUUGCUCCUGGACCUACUUAGGAAUAACUGGAAUAAUGCAGAGGCAAAAGCAAGCUCCUGAGCAAGAAGACAAACCACAGCCUUCUGCUUAAAGGAUAAAGCCUCUGUGAUUAAAAGCAAUUUUUGUAGACAAGCUACUGGAAUAAAAAUCUCAGACUGAUACUUUGUUGGAGUCUAUUUAUCAUGUAGAUUAAACAUGCUGUGAUGAAUCUAUGCACUUAAAUGUACUGUUUCUUCAUUUUCACUAAUUCCUAGUAAAAGAAGUUGUUUUAACUGCAUCUAACAGUAGGCUUUCUGAAAUUUUUAGCUUUUCUGAAUGGCUCUUUAUCUCUGGAACUGCUCUGGUACACAGCAAAAUAUGUUAUCCCUCUGGAACAGCUGCCUGAAUGACUGAAUCACAAACUGUGGUUUCCAAAGCUUUUCAUCCUUUCAAUUUCAAAAAAAUGUGAGAGUCCCAAAACAAUCUGUACAUGUGCUUUAUGCUGGACUUACUCUUUAUUUGCUUAUGUUUUGUUCA